CCUACGGGAGGCAGCAGUAAGGAAUAUUGGACAAUGGGCGCAAGCCUGAUCCAGCCAUGCCGCGUGAAGGAUUAAGGUCCUCUGGAUUGUAAACUUCUUUUAUAGGGGACGAAAAAAGGGCAUUCUUGUUCACUUGACGGUACCCUAUGAAUAAGCACCGGCUAACUCCGUGCCAGCAGCCGCGGUAAUACGGAGGGUGCAAGCGUUAUCCGGAUUCACUGGGUUUAAAGGGUGCGUAGGCGGGCAGGUAAGUCAGUGGUGAAAUCCUAGAGCUUAACUCUAGAACUGCCAUUGAUACUAUCUGUCUUGAAUAUUGUGGAGGUAAGCGGAAUAUGUCAUGUAGCGGUGAAAUGCUUAGAUAUGACAUAGAACACCUAUUGCGAAGGCAGCUUACUACGCAUAUAUUGACGCUGAGGCACGAAAGCGUGGGGAUCAAACAGGAUUAGAUACCCUGGUAGUCCACGCCCUAAACGAUGGAUACUCGACAUACGCGAUACACUGUGUGUGUCUGAGCGAAAGCAUUAAGUAUCCCACCUGGAAGUACGUCCGCAAGGAUGAAACUUAAAUGAAUUGACGG
This 577-nucleotide ribosomal RNA is filed under the name uncultured bacterium. RNAcentral describes it as "bacterial SSU rRNA". It matches the Rfam family "Bacterial small subunit ribosomal RNA", at positions 338 to 916 of the family's 1533-position model. The record is from RNAcentral.